This 253-nucleotide ribosomal RNA is filed under the name uncultured bacterium. RNAcentral's name for it is "partial 16S ribosomal RNA". It matches the Rfam family "Bacterial small subunit ribosomal RNA", at positions 524 to 776 of the family's 1533-position model. The record is from RNAcentral.
UACGUAGGGACCAAGCGUUGUUCGGAUUUACUGGGCGUAAAGGGCGCGUAGGCGGCCGAUCAAGUCGGGGGUGAAAGCCUGUGGCUCAACCACAGAAUUGCCUUCGAUACUGUUUGGCUUGAGACCGGAAGAGGUUAGUGGAACUGCGAGUGUAGAGGUGAAAUUCGUAGAUAUCAGGAGGAACACCAGUAGCGAAGGCGGCACUCUGGGCCGGUACUGACGCUGAGGAGCGAAAGCGUGGGGAGCGAACAGG